GUCGUGAGAUGUUGGGUUAAGUCCCGCAACGAGCGCAACCCUUGUCCUAUGUUGCCAGCGGAUAAUGCCGGGGACUCGUAGGAGACUGCCGGGGUCAACUCGGAGGAAGGUGGGGACGACGUCAAGUCAUCAUGCCCCUUAUGUCCAGGGCUGCAAACAUGCUACAAUGGCCGGUACAAAGGGCUGCUAUCCCGCGAGGGUGAGCGAAUCCCAUAAAGCCGGUCUCAGUUCGGAUCGAAGUCUGCAACUCGACUUCGUGAAGCCGGAGUCGCUAGUAAUCCCGGAUCAGCACGCCGGGGUGAAUACGUUCCCGGGCCUUGUACACACCGCCCGUCACACCACGAAAGUCGGUAACACCCGAAGCCGGUGGCCCAACCGCAAGGAGGGAGCCGUCGAAGGUGGGAUCGGUGAUUGGGGUGAAGUCGUAACAAGGUAGCCGUACCGGAAGGUGCGGCUGGAUCACCUCCUUUCUAAGGAGUUCUCAGUGACCAUUCGGUCACUCACUCCCUAGUUGGUGCACUGGCGAUCCGUCCUCGACAACCAUGUUCUGUUGAGAUUCAGUUCUCCCGAUGUGGUGACUCGAGUACGGAUUCCGAAUCCUCUCUUCCGUUUUGAAGGAGCGGCUCGCCGGCGGUCGAUCAAACGAUCCCGCCGGUUGGUCGGCUUCUUCGCUAGUGCGUGCCGCCGAACCCCUGCCCUGACCGGGCGGCGGGAUCGCUCCGGUCUCGCGCGAUGGCCCCUUGAGAAUUGCAGAGCGAGCACGAGCAUCUUGAAAAGUUCUUCCAAGCUAUAAAGAGCCAACGGUGGAUGCCUUGGCGUCUGGAACCGAUGAAGGACGUGGGUGACUGCGAAAAGCUACGGGGAGCCGUCGACCAGGCUUUGAUCCGUAGAUGU
Molecule: small RNA, 894 nt
Filed under: uncultured Actinomycetes bacterium
Lineage: Bacteria; Bacillati; Actinomycetota; Actinomycetes
Description: bacterial SSU rRNA
Rfam family: Bacterial small subunit ribosomal RNA (bases 1-470)
Source: RNAcentral